UACAUGAUAGUUCAAAAUUAUCAGAUUUUUAUAACUGCAAGAAGUUCCCGAAGAUGCUGUUAAUGUCCUAAAAGGGUAAAGGCAAAGCAAGUAUUUUAGCAUCAGGCUGUUAUUUGAAAAAAAAAAAAAAAAAAAAAAAAAAAAAAAAAAAAUCCAAAUUCUGCACUUCUAAUAUUUGCUAAAUGGAAUAGAAGACAUGGAAUCUCUUGGACCAGCUCAGAAUAAACAGCCCAUUAUAGUGUGUAUUACAAGUUCAUUCUAUAUUAAAGCAGUAAAUCACUUAAAGCAUGCCCAAAUCAUGCCAUGAAGGCAUUUGACAUUCUAUUUAAAACUAAUUUUGUAUUUAGCGUUCAAUAUGCACAUACAUCAACAAAUUUUUAUAAUUUUGUGGCAAGCCUUUUGUAUAAUGUCAGCACUCCUAGAGCUUGUGUGGACUCUUUAAAUACAUG
Molecule: long non-coding RNA, 449 nt
Organism: Stegodyphus dumicola
Lineage: Eukaryota; Metazoa; Arthropoda; Arachnida; Araneae; Eresidae
Source: RefSeq, a predicted model, not a curated record